This 485-nucleotide ribosomal RNA is filed under the name uncultured bacterium. RNAcentral's name for it is "bacterial SSU rRNA". It matches the Rfam family "Bacterial small subunit ribosomal RNA", at positions 28 to 517 of the family's 1533-position model. The record is from RNAcentral.
GAUGAACGCUAGCGGAAGGCUUAAUACAUGCAAGUCGAGCGGUAGGUGGCUUCGGCCAUUGAGAGCGGCGCACGGGUGAGUAACGCGUACAUGACCUGCCUGUCAGAAGGGGAUAGCCCUGGGAAACUGGGAUUAAUACCCUAUGGUAUUGAUAUUAUGAAUGAUAUCAAUUAAAGUUGAGGCGCUGACAGAUGGAUGUGCGUCUGAUUAGCUAGUUGGUAGGGUAACGGCCUACCAAGGCGACGAUCAGUAGGGGGCGUGAGAGCGUGGUCCCCCACACGGGUACUGAGACACGGACCCGACUCCUACGGGAGGCAGCAGUAAGGAAUAUUGGUCAAUGCCUGCAAGGGUGAACCAGCCAUUCCGCGUGGAGGAUGAAGGCCCUAUGGGUUGUAAACUUCUUUUAGAUGGGAAGAAAUGCUAGAUGUAUCUGGUACUGACGGUACCAUCAGAAUAAGCACCGGCUAACUCCGUGCCAGCAGCCG